AUUGAACGCUGGCGGCAGGCUUAACACAUGCAAGUCGAGCGGUAGCACAAGAGAGCUUGCUCUCUGGGUGACGAGCGGCGGACGGGUGAGUAAUGUCUGGGAAACUGCCUGAUGGAGGGGGAUAACUACUGGAAACGGUAGCUAAUACCGCAUAACGUCGCAAGACCAAAGAGGGGGACCUUCGGGCCUCUUGCCAUCAGAUGUGCCCAGAUGGGAUUAGCUAGUAGGUGGGGGUAUGGCUCACCUAGGCGACGAUCCGUAGCUGGUACGAGAGGCAGACCAGCCAGACUGUAACAGAGACACGUUCGAGACUCCGAGAGUAGGAAGCAGCGGGGAAUCUUGCACAAUGGGGGAAAGCCUGAUGCAGCAAAGUCGCGUGAGUCAAGAAGGAGCUAGGGUUGUAAAGCAAUUACAGCGAGGAGGAAGGUGGUGAACUUAAUACGUUCAGCAAUUGACGUUACUCGCAGAAGAAGCACCGGCUAACUCCGUG
RNAcentral lists this ribosomal RNA (490 nucleotides) under uncultured bacterium. RNAcentral describes it as "partial 16S ribosomal RNA". It matches the Rfam family "Bacterial small subunit ribosomal RNA", at positions 29 to 507 of the family's 1533-position model. The record is from RNAcentral.